RNAcentral lists this ribosomal RNA (253 nucleotides) under uncultured bacterium. RNAcentral's name for it is "partial 16S ribosomal RNA". It matches the Rfam family "Bacterial small subunit ribosomal RNA", at positions 524 to 776 of the family's 1533-position model. The record is from RNAcentral.
UACGUAGGGUGCAAGCGUUGUCCGGAAUUAUUGGGCGUAAAGAGCUCAUAGGCGGUUUGUCGCGUCUGCUGUGAAAACCCGAGGCUCAACCUCGGGCCUGCAGUGGGUACGGGCAGACUAGAGUGCGGUAGGGGAGAUUGGAAUUCCUGGUGUAGCGGUGGAAUGCGCAGAUAUCGGGAGGAACACCGGUGGCGAAGGCGGGUCUCUGGGCAAUUCCUGACGCUGAGGCGCGAAAGCGUGGGGAGCAAACGGG